RNAcentral lists this ribosomal RNA (492 nucleotides) under uncultured bacterium. RNAcentral's name for it is "partial 16S ribosomal RNA". It matches the Rfam family "Bacterial small subunit ribosomal RNA", at positions 29 to 507 of the family's 1533-position model. The record is from RNAcentral.
AGUGAACGCUGGCGGUAGGCCUAACACAUGCAAGUCGAACGGCAGCACAGUAAGAGCUUGCUCUUACGGGUGGCGAGUGGCGGACGGGUGAGGAAUACAUCGGAAUCUACUUUUUCGUGGGGGAUAACGUAGGGAAACUUACGCUAAUACCGCAUACGACCUACGGGUGAAAGCAGGGGACCUUCGGACCUUGCGUGAUUGAAUGAGCCGAUGUCGGAUUAGCUAGUUGGCGGGGUAAAGGCCCACCAAGGCGACGAUCCGUAGCUGGUCUGAGAGGAUGAUCAGCCACACUGGAACUGAGACACGGUCCAGACUCCUACGGGAGGCAGCAGUGGGGAAUAUUGGACAAUGGGCGCAAGCCUGAUCCAGCCAUGCCGCGUGGGUGAAGAAGGCCUUCGGGUUGUAAAGCCCUUUUGUUGGGGAAGAAGAGCAGCAGGUUAAUACCCCGCUGUUCUGACGGUACCCAAAGAAUAAGCACCGGCUAACUUCGUG